UACAGAGGGGGCAAGCGUUGUUCGGAAUUACUGGGCGUAAAGGGCGCGUAGGCGGCCUGCUAAGUCGAACGUGAAAUCCCCGAGCUCAACUCGGGAACUGCGUCCGAUACUGGCAGGCUUGAAUCCGGGAGAGGGAUGCGGAAUUCCAGGUGUAGCGGUGAAAUGCGUAGAUAUCGGGAGGAACAUCAGUGGCGAAGGCGGCCUUCUGGUCCAGUACUGACACUCAAGUGCGAAAGCGUGGGGAGCAAACAGG
Molecule: ribosomal RNA, 253 nt
Filed under: uncultured bacterium
Lineage: Bacteria
Description: partial 16S ribosomal RNA
Rfam family: Bacterial small subunit ribosomal RNA
Source: RNAcentral